GAUGAACGCUGGCGGCGUGCUUAACACAUGCAAGUCGAACGGAAAGGCCCAAGCUUGCUUGGGUACUCGAGUGGCGAACGGGUGAGUAACACGUGGGUGAUCUGCCCUGCACUUCGGGAUAAGCCUGGGAAACUGGGUCUAAUACCGGAUAGGACGAUGGUUUGGAUGCCAUUGUGGAAAGUUUUUUCGGUGUGGGAUGAGCUCGCGGCCUAUCAGCUUGUUGGUGGGGUAAUGGCCUACCAAGGCGUCGACGGGUAGCCGGCCUGAGAGGGUGUACGGCCACAUUGGGACUGGGAUACGGCCCAGACUCCUACGGGAGGAAGCAGUGGGGAAUAUUGCACAAUGGGCGCAAGCCUGAUGCAGCGACGCCGCGUGGGGGAUGACGGCCUUCGGGUUGUAAACUCCUUUCGCUAGGGACGAAGCGUUUUUGUGACGGUACCUGGAGAAGAAGCACCGGCUAACUACGUG
RNAcentral lists this ribosomal RNA (468 nucleotides) under uncultured bacterium. RNAcentral's name for it is "partial 16S ribosomal RNA". It matches the Rfam family "Bacterial small subunit ribosomal RNA", at positions 28 to 507 of the family's 1533-position model. The record is from RNAcentral.